UGGGGAAUAUUGGGCAAUGGGCGAAAGCCUGACCCAGCGACGCCGCGUGAGCGAUGAAGGCCUUCGGGUUGUAAAGCUCUGUCAUGCGGAAAGAACGACCCUGUGACGCAUACUCACAGGAAGUGACGGUACCGCAGGAGGAAGCACCGGCUAACUCCGUGCCAGCAGCCGCGGUAAUACGGAGGGUGCAAGCGUUGUUCGGAAUUAUUGGGCGUAAAGGGCGCGUAGGCGGUAAUGCAAGUCAGAUGUGAAAUACUCCGGCUCAACCAGAGAAUUGCAUCUGAAACUGCAUAACUAGAGUACAGAAGAGGGAAACGGAAUUCCCGGUGUAGAGGUGAAAUUCGUAGAUAUCGGGAGGAACACCAGUGGCGAAGGCGGUUUCCUGGUCUGAUACUGACGCUGAGGCGCGAAAGUGUGGGGAGCAAACA
RNAcentral lists this ribosomal RNA (428 nucleotides) under uncultured prokaryote. Its description in RNAcentral is "bacterial SSU rRNA". It matches the Rfam family "Bacterial small subunit ribosomal RNA", at positions 355 to 774 of the family's 1533-position model. The record is from RNAcentral.